Molecule: non-coding RNA, 27 nt
Filed under: Rattus norvegicus (Norway rat)
Lineage: Eukaryota; Metazoa; Chordata; Mammalia; Rodentia; Muridae
Source: RNAcentral
UGAAACUGACUCAGGCAGCCUCAGAGG